AGAGCAGCCCAGAACGGAGGCCGACACGGUAACAAGUGCUUUGCAUCAGCCUCAUAUUCAUGCCACAGUGAGCUCAAAGGCAGAGAAAAUUUCAUAUAACCGGAAGAGUUCAUAAUAUGCCUUUAUUCUUUAACUUAUAAACAGCAUUUAAUUUGUCCUUCAAAAGUUAAUUAUAAUUGGUGACAGCUUUUCUCAGAUACAUCCCUCAUGUCCAAGAGAGGGGAAGAAUUUAGCCCUUGAUUUAAAAAAA
Molecule: non-coding RNA, 250 nt
Organism: Ceratotherium simum simum (southern white rhinoceros)
Lineage: Eukaryota; Metazoa; Chordata; Mammalia; Perissodactyla; Rhinocerotidae
Source: RefSeq, a predicted model, not a curated record